AGGACCCUACCAAGGUUGAUAGGAGUGGUGCUUACAUUGUGAGACAGGCUGCUAAGAGCAUUGUGGCAAGUGGACUUGCCAGAAGGUGCAUUGUGCAAGUGUCUUAUGCCAUUGGUGUGCCUGAGCCUUUGUCUGUGUUUGUUGACACCUAUGGCACUGGAAAGAUCCCUGACAAGGAGAUCCUUAACAUUGUGAAGGAGAACUUUGAUUUCAGGCCUGGUAUGAUCUCCAUCAACCUUGAUCUCAAGAGGGGUGGAAAUAACAGGUUUUUGAAGACUGCUGCAUAUGGACACUUUGGAAGAGAGGACCCUGACUUCACAUGGGAAGUGAUCAAGCCACUCAAGUGGGAGGAGGCCUAAGGCCAUUCAUUCCUCACCGCUGUGUGCUGGGAGUUUUUUGAGCUUUGCCCUUAUCAUAUCUAUAAUUUGUUUCAUUUAUUUUACUUAAUUCGUGUGUGCUUCUCACUUUCUCUUCCUCCUCUCCAUUCUAUUUUGUUUCUUCUAUCCUCAUAUGUAAUUUUUUUACAUGAUCAAUUAAACGUGAUACAAAAUUAUUCUUAAUUAGCACGUGUCCUUGUUUCUAGUCCCUUUACUUUUGAAUGUCUAUGUCUACACAUACAUAUAGGACGUUUUACUUUUAUAUGUGUGUCAGCUUGGUUGGAAUUCUGUGGUAUCCGUUUAUCAGUUAGUUCAGGUGCACACAAAUGCGACAAUUAGUUGGUAAAACUGCAAGAGAUUUUGCAAAUAUCAUACAAAUAAUAACAAUAAAUAGUUUGUCGUUUUCAUGCUGCUGGUUUGAUCUUCGCAGUUCACACUGAUCAAACUAAACAACGGUGUUUGGUAAUAUUCAACCUUCUCUCUUUCAAACCUUACUACUAACCUCGUGCGUUGGGUAACAUUAGGCUUCCAACUUAUCUGUUUUCUUUGCCAUAACUUGUUGCCAAAGAGUGUUUGUUCAUAAUAAGUGUUGGAGAUAUAAGAGUGUUGGAAAAGUUUAUUUGCCAUAACUUGUUGCCAUAAAGAGUUGAAGUAACCUCUUGAUAGGAAAAUGGCUCAAGACAAGCUGUGAAUAGAAGUCAGAAAACAAGCAAAUGAAGUAGAGUAAGUGGAAUAAACAAAGUCCAAUAGUUUAGUGAACUUAUAAUCAUGUUGAGAAUGAGAAGGAUCCACCCUCACAAAAAAGGUUAUUGCCUAAUUAAUAGUAGGGAUUGAAGAAGUAUCAAUAAUCAAUAAGAGGGACAUUUGGAUUGACACAAACUAUUAGUAUAAAAAAAAAAUGUAAAACUAAAUGGACAACAAUCUAAGAAAGCGAGUAUGUGUUGUACUCGGAAAACAUAACAUAAUGUGAUUUUGAUUGUGGAAACUGAAAACAAUAACAUUUAAGUUUUAUUUAUCUCUUUGCCUAACAAUUUUUUUAAUUACUUUUUUUAUAGUUUUUAUGAUGAAGAUAAUUAAUAUUUUUUACAAAUAUUAUAUUUUCCUUUUUACCAUCUUUGAAGAUAAUUGCUUUUUUUUCCAAUUUAGACAAAUAUUUGAGUAUCAAUGAUAUUCCUUUUUAAUCCAUUAUUGCAAUUUAAAAGACCAUCAAUGAUUACAUUUUCAAUCAAAUGACUUUAUUAGUCUUCACUUUACAUCGAUUUAAAUCAAACUAAUAAUUUUGUAUGGACUAAAUCUCUGAACAUUUUUAUAUUUACAACAUAUUUUAACAUUUAUUAAAUAAUUAGUAUUUAAUACUAUUAGUAGAAUAAUGGGAGUAGCAGGAGGGAGGCACUGAGAGAAUAGAGAUGGCAUGGAAGUAAGCAAUCAAGUCAAAAUCAGAGUUGGCCAACCCCAAAGGCUGUAGUAGGUAAGCAUGGCCCAUUUUAGUUUUUACAUUCAUCUCUCAUUUUCACCUCAACGGUUCAGAUUCAAUCUGACUCCCCGAUCUCAGCCGUGGAUUCAAAUGCCACCUCAGGCACAUGCAAUUCCAAAUGGAUGAACCUAACCCACAAUCUAAUCUUGUUACUUAGGGGCUUUUCCGUCAUUAAAUGACACCACCUACCCCCUUCUCCCUAUAAAUGGCAACUCAAUGCCCCCCUUAGAACUCGCAGCGCUUGAUUUGAGGCCAGGCAAGCCCCACUCAACCACCACACCUCUCCUCGUUCACGCUACCCCUUUCUGCUCUUCUUCUACCUUUCAAGGUACUCUUCUUUCCCUCUGUUGCUGCAACCUUCUCUUUCUUUAAGAUUGCCUCAAUUUCGGAUCUUGCACCUCUGGGUUGCUUUGCUUUGCUUUUUCCUCUACUGGGUUGAUUUCUGUUUCCCUAAACCGGUUUAGACGAAUGUGAACACUACUUCUUUUGUUUAAUUACUCUGGAAUACGUGUUAGGCUUUCAGAUCUAGUUGAAAUCGUAUUGCACUUUUAGGGGGAGUUUGGAUUUCUAAUAAGAAAUUGACCUUUUGCUGAGAAUUGGUUCGGUGAUUAGAGGGUUUCCGUAAAUUUUUGAAGUUUUACAUGCUUGUAUCUGUUUAUUUUUGUUUCUCACAUCUAUUAUUGUUAGGUGAAGGAAAUUAUGUAUUGAGAGUCUGUCUGAUACUAAAUAUAAACACCUCAAUAGGGGCUCUAACACUGAUUUUAUCAUUUGCUGCUUGUGUGUAUGGUUAAAGAAAGGCAAUUGUGUUUUAAUUUUCUGCAAGCUUUCGUUUGCUGAAUUUUAUGCAUAUAUUUUCCUCCCUUUUGUGAACUUCCUUUUUGUAGUUCUAAUUCCAUUUUUGGUGUCUGCAGUUUUAAAAGUAUAAAGAUGGCAGAGACAUUCCUAUUUACCUCAGAGUCGGUGAACGAGGGACACCCUGACAAGCUCUGCGACCAAAUCUCCGAUGCUGUCCUCGACGCUUGCCUCGAGCAGGACCCAGACAGCAAAGUUGCCUGCGAAACAUGCACCAAAACCAACUUGGUCAUGGUCUUCGGAGAAAUCACGACCAAGGCCAACGUUGACUACGAGAAGAUAGUGCGUGACACCUGCAGGAACAUCGGCUUCGUCUCAAAUGAUGUGGGACUGGAUGCCGACAACUGCAAGGUCCUCGUCAACAUUGAGCAGCAGAGCCCUGAUAUUGCUCAGGGUGUACACGGCCACCUUACCAAAAAACCUGAAGAAAUUGGUGCUGGUGACCAGGGUCACAUGUUUGGCUAUGCCACUGAUGAAACCCCUGAAUUGAUGCCAUUGAGCCAUGUUCUUGCAACAAAACUCGGUGCUCGUCUCACCGAGGUUCGCAAGAACGGUACCUGCCCUUGGCUGAGGCCUGAUGGGAAGACCCAAGUGACCGUUGAGUAUUACAAUGACAAUGGUGCCAGGGUUCCUAUUCGUGUACACACCGUGCUAAUCUCCACCCAACACGACGAGACUGUCACCAAUGACGAAAUUGCUGCUGACCUCAAAGAGCAUGUGAUCAAGCCUGUGAUCCCAGAGAAGUACCUUGAUGAGAAGACCAUUUUCCACUUGAACCCUUCAGGCCGUUUUGUCAUUGGUGGCCCUCAUGGCGAUGCUGGUCUCACCGGCCGCAAGAUCAUUAUCGAUACUUAUGGAGGAUGGGGUGCUCAUGGUGGUGGUGCUUUCUCCGGGAAGGACCCUACCAAGGUUGAUAGGAGUGGUGCUUACAUUGUGAGACAGGCUGCUAAGAGCAUUGUGGCAAGUGGACUUGCCAGAAGGUGCAUUGUGCAAGUGUCUUAUGCCAUUGGUGUGCCUGAGCCUUUGUCUGUGUUUGUUGACACCUAUGGCACUGGGAAGAUCCAUGAUAAGGAGAUUCUCAACAUUGUGAAGGAAAACUUUGAUUUCAGGCCUGGUAUGAUCUCCAUCAACCUUGAUCUCAAGAGGGGUGGAAAUAACAGGUUUUUGAAGACUGCUGCCUAUGGACACUUUGGAAGAGAAGACCCUGACUUCACAUGGGAAGUGGUCAAACCCCUCAAGUGGGAGAAGGCCUAAGUAAUUCAUUCCACUGCUCUAUGCUGGAAGUUUUUUGAGCGUUGCCCUUAUAAUAUGUCUAAUAUCCAUAACUUUCCACGUCUCUUACUCUGUGUGUUUCUCUCCUCUUCCUCCUAUUUUGUUAUUUGUAUGU
This 4090-nucleotide long non-coding RNA is filed under the name Glycine max (soybean). Its description in RNAcentral is "long non-coding RNA (GMAX_LNC003818)". The record is from RNAcentral. Lineage: Eukaryota; Viridiplantae; Streptophyta; Magnoliopsida; Fabales; Fabaceae.